This 370-nucleotide ribosomal RNA is filed under the name Salmonella enterica subsp. enterica serovar Newport. RNAcentral's name for it is "bacterial LSU rRNA". It matches the Rfam family "Bacterial large subunit ribosomal RNA", at positions 1987 to 2356 of the family's 2925-position model. Lineage: Bacteria; Pseudomonadati; Pseudomonadota; Gammaproteobacteria; Enterobacterales; Enterobacteriaceae. The record is from RNAcentral.
CCUGCACGAAUGGCGUAAUGAUGGCCAGGCUGUCUCCACCCGAGACUCAGUGAAAUUGAACUCGCUGUGAAGAUGCAGUGUACCCGCGGCAAGACGGAAAGACCCCGUGAACCUUUACUAUAGCUUGACACUGAACAUUGAGCCUUGAUGUGUAGGAUAGGUGGGAGGCUUUGAAGUGUGGACGCCAGUCUGCAUGGAGCCGACCUUGAAAUACCACCCUUUAAUGUUUGAUGUUCUAACGUGGACCCGUGAUCCGGGUUGCGGACAGUGUCUGGUGGGUAGUUUGACUGGGGCGGUCUCCUCCUAAAGAGUAACGGAGGAGCACGAAGGUUGGCUAAUCCUGGUCGGACAUCAGGAGGUUAGUGCAAUG